Non-coding RNA from Cicer arietinum (chickpea), 954 nucleotides. NCBI's taxonomy places the organism in Eukaryota, Viridiplantae, Streptophyta, Magnoliopsida, Fabales, Fabaceae. The record is from RefSeq and is a predicted model, not a curated record.
AAGUCGGCAAUGACACGAAAUUCAAACGGCAAAAUAGAAUUUUGGAACUUCAUAGUAUCUAGUAGAAUCCUCGUACGGUUGGCGUCGUGGAACGACAAGGUAUUCCUUUUUGUUACAAAAGGGAAGAAACACAAGCUUCUCUGAUGCUUCCUUUGCCAAAAAUAAAUCUAUUAAUUCCAGGUAUAUUGACUACGCAUUAGAUAAUAUCAUUUACAUGUAUCAAAAAUUAAAUAACGUAUGACCCAAGUUAUAGCCAACGAUUCGUUAUUAGUUUGUGUCUAUCCAGUUCUAGACCAAGAACAGAGGCCAAAUCAAGAUUUUGUGUUUCUAUGAUGCUUCCUUGUCAAGCAUGGGAGUAGACUUGAGGUUUUCUGGUUUAGGGUAGAGGAUGAAAAUGCGGUCCCCUUGUAUUUUGCUCUCUUUUGAGUUUACUUUAUCUUAUAUGUUGUAUAAUUAAACAAAGGUGGUUGUUGAACAAUCUCCCUCAAAUUUCGGUAAUCUAUUUGAUCAUUCCUUGCGAGUGUUAGUUUGAGUGAAAUAUAUUAUAGGAAGUGUGCUUCCGAUUGUAUUUUAGAUAUGUGAGCAAAAAUGAGGUGUUAGAUGAACAAUCUCUUUAAACAGAUCUUUUGCUAAUUCAUCCAUGUGAAUUUAUAAUAACUAAUUUAAUACACAUUUAGACACAAAAUUAGCUGAACAAUAUAGUAUUAAUUGCUAAAUUACAGCAUAACUUUUUGUUCUUUCAAAUAUUUAAUGAUCAAUGCACGUGAAAAACAACUUUAAGGAGAUAGAAAGAAAAGAGGGUCAAAGUUGAAGUAGAAGAGGCUCGAGGAAGAUUGCCACCAACUGACCAAAGAUAGGAAGAAUAUUUUAAGUAAUGCUUUUAAUUUAAUUGUUGUAUGGAAAAAAUUAUCAUGUGCUUUCUUGAAUAACAAAUUUCAAGACCUUCAUCUCGUA